This 495-nucleotide ribosomal RNA is filed under the name uncultured bacterium. RNAcentral describes it as "partial 16S ribosomal RNA". It matches the Rfam family "Bacterial small subunit ribosomal RNA", at positions 28 to 523 of the family's 1533-position model. The record is from RNAcentral.
GAUGAACGCUAGCGGGAGGCCUAACACAUGCAAGCCGAGCGGUAUUUGUCUUUCGGGACAGAGAGAGCGGCGUACGGGUGCGGAACACGUGUGCAACCUGCCUUUAUCAGGGGGAUAGCCUUUCGAAAGGAAGAUUAAUACCCCAUAAUAUAUCUGAUGGCAUCAUUAGAUAUUGAAAACUCCGGUGGAUAGAGAUGGGCACGCGCAAGAUUAGAUAGUUGGUGAGGUAACGGCUCACCAAGUCAGUGAUCUUUAGGGGGCCUGAGAGGGUGUACCCCCACAAUGGGACUGAGACACGGACCAGACUCCUACGGGAGGCAGCAGUGAGAAAGAUUGGACAAUGGGUGCGAGCCUGAUCCAGCCAUCCCGCGUGCAGGACGACGGUUCUAUGGAUUGUAAACUUCGUUUAUACUGGGAUAAACCUACUCUCGUGAGGGUAGCUGAAGGUACAGUAUGAAUAAGCACCGGCUAACUCCGUGCCAGCAGCCGCGGUAA